AAUUCAAGGUCACAGAAUGUCGGGGAUGGACCUCCAGAUUUCCUUACUGUACUUAUCCUGUAUUACAUGAGGGAAAUGAAAUAAAAAGACUGCAACCCUCCUCCCAGCUACUCUAGUGAGGUGGUAGCUAGGUGAGACGUGGUCUUGUAACACAGUGGUUAAGAAUGUGACUUUGGAGCCAGCCUGCUAGGGGCUGAAUUCUGACUCAGCCAUUUAUUAACUGUGUGACCUUAGGGAGGAGGACCUGGUUGAUAGAAGAAUUUAUCUCAUAGUCUUAACAUCCACUGUAAUUCCGAACUUUGAGGACGAUAGAGAUCAGUGGGCUUUGACUGCCCAGCAUGCAGUCUCCAUUCUUAGAUGGAGUCUCACUCUGUAGCCCAAGCUGGAGUGGCGUGAUCUCGACUCACUGCAACCUCCGCCUCCUGGGCUCAAGUGAUUCUCGUGCCUCAGCCUCCUGAGUAGCUGGGACUACAGGUCAUAGAAUUUUCCACACUCCUUGACGGAGGUUCUUAACCCUUAUCCAUCAGCAUUCUCAGACAGCACCUCCGGUUAGGGACAGUAUCUGACCGUCCGACAUCCCUGCAGCCCCCAUGCUGUCACACAGACUCAGCCUCAGGUAGAUGGUUUCCGUAGAUGGUGGCUUUCUUUGGACCCUUGAUAUCAACCAGUUACUAUUUGCCAGAGACAGACUCCCAG
RNAcentral lists this non-coding RNA (696 nucleotides) under Pongo abelii (Sumatran orangutan). The record is from RNAcentral. Lineage: Eukaryota; Metazoa; Chordata; Mammalia; Primates; Hominidae.